AACGAACGCUGGCGGCGUGCCUAACACAUGCAAGUCGAACGCGAAAGGGGGCAACCCCCGGUAGCGAGGCAGACGGGUGAGUAACACGUGGGUAACCUACCCCGAGGUGGGGGAUAACCCUCCGAAAGGAGGGCUAAUACCGCAUGAAACCUGAGGUCCUUGGACUUUCAGUUCAAAGCUAGCCUCUGCUUGCAAGCUAGCGCCACGGGAGGGGCCCGCGCCCCAUUAGCUAGUUGGUGAGGUAACGGCUCACCAAGGCCACGAUGGGUAGCCGGCCUGAGAGGGCGAUCGGCCACACUGGAACUGAGACACGGUCCAGACUCCUACGGGAGGCAGCAGUGAGGAAUAUUGCGCAAUGGGCGAAAGCCUGACGCAGCGACGCCGCGUGGAGGACGAAGGUCUUCGGAUCGUAAACUCCUGUCGAGCGGGACGAAGCCGGGGCGGUGAAUAGCCGCUUCGGUCGACGGUACCGCUAAAGGAUGCCCCGGCUAACUCCGUGC
RNAcentral lists this ribosomal RNA (500 nucleotides) under uncultured bacterium. RNAcentral describes it as "bacterial SSU rRNA". It matches the Rfam family "Bacterial small subunit ribosomal RNA", at positions 29 to 508 of the family's 1533-position model. The record is from RNAcentral.